GAAAAAACAGACCCUUUUCCGUUUCUGUCUCUUACUGAUUUUACUUUCUUGUUAUUCUAAAUAUAAAACGAAAAUCAAAGCAUUAAAAAAAAUCGUAUAUCCCUUUUUGAUCACGAAAAGGAAAAACGCCUUGUAUUUCAAUUUUAAUUUUUGAAUUUUAAAACGAAAAUCAAAUAACCACUCGUUUUUUGUUUUUCAAUACCCGUUUCAGAACGGAAAAUCCAAUUACCAGAUCCGUACACGGACCCACCACACACACCUUUGACACACUUCCACACAUUAGUUGAGUAGCAGCGAAAACCUGGUCGCACCAAACUAUUUUACAUCUGGUGCGAAGCUCUCCAGCAAACUACAGCGUCGGAUGAAGAGUCCAGCCACUUGUCUGUCAUCGUUUACAAUGUUGGGAAGGAGGAGGAAGAGGAGAGAAUGGAGGUCUCCUGCUGUCCUGGUAUCCCAGAGAGAGGUAGAGGGACAGACCGGCCUCCAGCCAGGAGACGCUGCAGCAGCCGCUCCACCAGCGAGCGCUCCGGGCCACAGACACUCCCUACAGCUGGCUGGAAAACUGAGAAGGAACCUGACAGCUUACCUUCUCUGCCACAUUUCCUGCCCAAAAGGAGGCCAGAUGUCCAGCCACCUCUGUCAGAAUAUGUGGACAGCCCUUCUCCAUCAGACCUGUCCAAGUACUUGGACCAGGAGACCAUCAAAAUACUGUUUCUGAUUCAACUCAGUAAAAACGAUUUUCAUUUGUUUUCAAAUGCACUUUUUAUGGUCUGACCAUGGUUUUGUACAUAAAAUAUGUGUGUUCAUAAGUAUCUGGCACACUUAGAAAUUUGAUUGCACUAUUGUAAAUAAUUUGUUUUGAUGCUGAUGUUGUCUCUUUGCAAAUUUAGCAGUUUUGUUUAUUUUCGUUUUUUUUACAGGUUACAAAAUUGACCAUAUCUCAAAAAGCAAAUUAUGUACAGACUCCAAAUAAAUUUCCUGUGGUUCCAGA
Molecule: long non-coding RNA, 991 nt
Organism: Amphiprion ocellaris (clown anemonefish)
Lineage: Eukaryota; Metazoa; Chordata; Actinopteri; Pomacentridae
Exons: 2
Source: RefSeq, a predicted model, not a curated record